GUCUACGGCCAUGCUACCCUGAACAAGCCCAAUCUUGUCUGAUCUCAGAAGCUAAGCAGGGUCGGGCCUGGUUAGUACUCGGAUGGGAGACCACCUAGGAAGACCAGGCGCUGUAGGCG
Molecule: ribosomal RNA, 119 nt
Filed under: Pteropus alecto (black flying fox)
Lineage: Eukaryota; Metazoa; Chordata; Mammalia; Chiroptera; Pteropodidae
Source: RNAcentral